GAACGCUGGCGGCGUGCCUAAUACAUGCAAGUCGAGCGAACGGACGAGAAGCUUGCUUCUCUGAUGUUAGCGGCGGACGGGUGAGUAACACGUGGAUAACCUACCUAUAAGACUGGGAUAACUUCGGGAAACCGGAGCUAAUACCGGAUAAUAUUUUGAACCGCAUGGUUCAAAAGUGAAAGACGGUCUUGCUGUCACUUAUAGAUGGAUCCGCGCUGCAUUAGCUAGUUGGUAAGGUAACGGCUUACCAAGGCAACGAUGCAUAGCCGACCUGAGAGGGGGAUCGGCCACACUGGAACUGAGACACGGUCCAGACUCCUACGGGAGGCAGCAGUAGGGAAUCUUCCGCAAUGGGCGAAAGCCUGACGGAGCAACGCCGCGUGAGUGAUGAAGGUCUUCGGAUCGUAAAACUCUGUUAUUAGGGAAGAACAUAUGUGUAAGUAACUGUGCACAUCUUGACGGUACCUAAUCAGAAAGCCACGGCUAACUACGUG
Molecule: ribosomal RNA, 494 nt
Filed under: uncultured bacterium
Lineage: Bacteria
Description: partial 16S ribosomal RNA
Rfam family: Bacterial small subunit ribosomal RNA
Source: RNAcentral